GAAAUCGGAGCUAAUACCGAAUGAUGCAGCGGAUCCUUAUGGCUAUGUUGUUAAAGGUGUCUUCGGAUAUCGCCAAUAGAUGAACCUGCGUCCCAUUAGCUUGUUGGUGAGGUAACGGCUCACCAAGGCGACGAUGGGUAGCCGGCCUGAGAGGGUGGUCGGUCACACUGGAACUGAGACACGGUCCAGACUCCUACGGGAGGCAGCAGUGAGGAAUAUUGGGCAAUGGGCGAAAGCCUGACCCAGCAACGCCGCGUGAGGGAAGAGGCUCUACGGAGUGUAAACCUCUGUUAGGAGGGAUGAAUGUUGUAAUGGUAAAUAAUCAUUACGAAGAGACGGUACCUCCAAAGAAAGCCCCGGCUAACUCCGUGCCAGCAGCCGCGGUAAUACGGGGGGGGCAAGCGUUGUCCGGAAUUACUGGGCGUAAAGGGCGUGUAGGCGGAUAGGUCAGUCGAUGGUGAAAUCCUACAGCUUAACUGUAGAAUUGCCUUUGAUACUGCCUAUCUUGAGUUCGGAAGAGGGAAGCGGAAUUCCUGGUGUAGCGGUGAAA
RNAcentral lists this ribosomal RNA (550 nucleotides) under uncultured bacterium. RNAcentral's name for it is "bacterial SSU rRNA". It matches the Rfam family "Bacterial small subunit ribosomal RNA", at positions 153 to 686 of the family's 1533-position model. The record is from RNAcentral.